Callithrix jacchus (white-tufted-ear marmoset) is the source of this 607-nucleotide non-coding RNA. NCBI's taxonomy places the organism in Eukaryota, Metazoa, Chordata, Mammalia, Primates, Cebidae. The record is from RefSeq and is a predicted model, not a curated record.
AGCUCCCACUCAGAGCAGUGGGAGGAGACUCACACUGUGAACUCUUGCUCCAAGAACUACUGCAGGAAUAUACCAGGAAAGCUGAGCAAAUCCACAGACCCUUUGAAGGAAGUGGAUUGCUCCUGCAGGACCCAGAAGACAGCCCAAAUACUAUGGAGUUUCGCUGUUGUUACCCAGACUGGAGUGCAAUGGCACUAUCUCGGCUCACUGCAAACUCCACCUCCUGGGUUCAAGAGAUUCUCCUUCCUCAGCCUCCCGAGUAGCUGGGACUACAGGCGUGCACCACCAUGCCCAGCUAAUUGUUGUAUUUUCAGUAGAGACGGGGUUUCAUAUUGUUGACCAGGAUGGUCUCGAUCUCUUGACCUCGUGAUCCACCCGCCUCGGCCUCCCAAAGUGCUGGGAUUAUAGGCGUGAGCCACAGCGCCCGGCCUCUUGCUAAUUUCUAAACAUCAUCACACUAUGAAAUAAGGUGAAGAAAAAAAAAAACACCCUAUUCAAUUUAAUCAAUAACAAAAUGAUGAGUUCAUUUUCUUUUUUUUUUUUUUUAUUGCAUUUUAGGUUUUGGGGUACAUGGGCAGAGCAUGCAAUACAGUUGCAUAGGUACACA